Bombyx mori (domestic silkworm) is the source of this 102-nucleotide non-coding RNA. Lineage: Eukaryota; Metazoa; Arthropoda; Insecta; Lepidoptera; Bombycidae. The record is from RefSeq and is marked provisional.
ACUUUUACCUUUUACCUUUACCACAGACACUUGUACCUUUUCUAAGCCCUAAUUGGCUGGGAGAGAGGUUGACCUGGCUCUCUGGGGAGGAUAAUUUGGUGC